CCUACGGGAGGCAGCAGUGGGGAAUAUUGGGCAAUGGGCGCAAGCCUGACCCAGCAACGCCGCGUGAAGGAAGAAGGCUCUCGGGUUGUAAACUUCUUUUUUCAGGGACGAAGCAAGUGACGGUACCUGAGGAAUAAGCCACGGCUAACUACGUGCCAGCAGCCGCGGUAAUACGUAGGUGGCAAGCGUUAUCCGGAUUUACUGGGUGUAAAGGGCGUGUAGGCGGGACUGCAAGUCAGAGGGGAAAACCACGGGCGCAACCUGUGGCCUGCAUUUGAAACUGUAGUUCUUGAGUACUGGAGAGGCAGACGGAAUGCGUGGUGUAGCGGUGAAAUGCGUAGAUAUUAGGAGGAACACCAGUGGCGAAGGCGGUCUGCUGGACAGCAACUGACGCUGAGGCGCGAAAGCGUGGGGAGCAAACAGGAUUAGAUACCCGGGUAGUC
RNAcentral lists this ribosomal RNA (443 nucleotides) under uncultured bacterium. Its description in RNAcentral is "partial 16S ribosomal RNA". It matches the Rfam family "Bacterial small subunit ribosomal RNA", at positions 338 to 795 of the family's 1533-position model. The record is from RNAcentral.